Molecule: RNA transcript, 5796 nt
Organism: Triticum dicoccoides
Lineage: Eukaryota; Viridiplantae; Streptophyta; Magnoliopsida; Poales; Poaceae
Gene name: F-box protein At5g07610-like
Exons: 4
Source: RefSeq, a predicted model, not a curated record
CCGGCCCCGUAGGGUUUCAUCACUUCCCCCCCUCCCCCUCCCCCUCCUCGCACUCGACGGCGCCGCCGGAGCUUUCUUCCGCCGCAGCGCCAUGCCCAGACAAGCUCAUCGAUCUCACCCAAGCUGAUGGAGAACGGACGCAUGUCAGACCGGAUCAGGUCGCCCUCUUCUCCUCCCAGCGGCAGCGAGACGGCGGCCGAGAGACUCACCGACGACCUCCUCGUCGAGAUCCUCUCGCGCGUGCCCGCCAGGUCGCUCUGCCGCUUCAAGUGCGUCUCCAAGCACUGGCUCGGCCUCAUCAACGACCGCACCUACCGCCGGAAGCUGCCCCAGAUCCUGGCCGGCUUCUACGACGGGGGCCAAUUGGUAGAUUCAGGUGUUCCUUUCACCAAUAUCUCGGGAAGCCGCCAUCUCACAUAUCCCGCCUUCCUGCCCAGCCGCCGGAAGGUCAUGGUCGUGGACUGCUGCAACGGCCUCCUUCUCUUCUCCUCAUACGCUGGUGGCGACCAUGGCGACGAGUUAUACGUUGUGUGCAAUCCCGCCACAGAGGAAUGGGCUGAGUUGCCGCAUCCCGGUCAUUCCGGUGAUGUGUCUAGUAUAAACUUGUGUUUUGAUCCAGCCGUGUCCCCCCAUUUCCAUGUGUUUUUGUUGCCGGCUGUGGAGGUGGAGGACCAACAUGGCUACUGUCUUACCAGAGUGCAUGUCUAUUCAUCUGAAACCGGGAGUUGGGUUCAUAAGGAGAAGAGAUGGAGCGGCAAUAUCGAUGUCGGUUAUGAUCCGUCAUUUAUCUAUCUCAAUGGUUAUCUGCAUUUUUGCGCCAUUGUUGAUGAUUCUGCCCGCCAGCUAGCUGCAGUGGACAAGGAGGGGGGAGCAAGGACUGACUUUCGUGUUCCUGAUGAUCUGAAUGUUUGUUUUAUUCAGCAGUCACAGGGCUGCCUGCAUUAUGCUGGUUUUGACAGAGGUGACAAUGAUGAUGAUGUUGAUCGACUGCUAGUUUAUGUUCUUAAAGACUAUGACAGCAAAGAAUGGAUACUGAAGCAUAGCGUCGAAACUUCACAUGUGUUUGGAGGGCUUCAUGCAGUCAGCCUUUAUGAGAACUUUGAUUGGAUUGCAAUUCAUCCAGAAUGUAACUUGAUCUUCUUCACUCUGGCCUGGGAGGAUAUCACAUUCAUGUGCUAUGAUAUGGAUCGUGGACAAGUUAAAGUGAUCUGCAAUCUUGAAGAAAGCGAGCCACCAUAUUUUCCGUAUGUUCCACUAUAUGAAGAGUUACAAUCUUUGCACAAGUGACAUCUUAUUCGUGCUAUGGAGCAGCGAGCAUGGUCUACAGUUAUUUUGUAGGCACAGACGAGUACUCCAUUGAGGAACCAGCGAAGAAAAAAAGCACAUAUGUACAAAUUCGAGGUAGGCUUAUAAUUUUCUUCUUCCAAUCCAUUUAUCUUGAGAUCAUUUCCCACAAAAGGCAUACAUGAAGACAGUCGUGGGACAAAUAAUAUCUAUUUACUUUUGCCCAUAAAAUCCAUAUACAACGGCUACAAUACCUGCUGUCUGCAGUACAGUUUAUCCUGUGCCAAAGCUUGUUAGGUGAUUUCGAUUUACUGUAUAAGAUUUUUUUGUUUCUUUCCUUGAGGUCAGUGCUUAUUGCACACUUUUAUGUCAUGUCUCAAAGAAAGGUGCGGAAACAUGCAUUAUUUGGACAUGGUAUUCCUGUCAAAUGCUUCCUAUAGACUAUGCAUCAUGCCUAGAUGAUUCUUCUGUUCAGUACCAGAAGAGCACAAGUAGAUCAAGUUCUUGCAUGCUUGAACCAGCCACACCAACUUGCUUGAGUUCAGUCAAACCAUCAAGAGGUACCAAAAUGAAUCCGUGCAUGAUUAAAACUAGGAAAUAUGCCCGUACGUUGCAACGGGGGAGAAAUUGUUCUGUUUAUUGACUGCCAACAUCCCACGACAACAUUCGAAAGGUGCCACCUAAAUAUGUCCAUCAAUUGCAACGGAAGAAAAAAAACUUCACUCUCCUAUCCCAGUAAGCAUGUAAUGGUUUAAGCCUAAAACAUAAGCAAGAACCUAAAUAUAAGCUUUUGUGAUGUUUCUUGUCACAAGCGCCAACUUUAGGGAUAAAAAAAAUGGAAUUUACUAUUUCAUUUAUGAUACACAUCAAUUAUUCAGAGGGCAGGCCUGGCGCAGUGGUGAAGUCCUCCCCACUUGUGCCAAGAGGUCCUGGGUUCGAACCAGCCUCUCUGCAUUGCACUUUGCAGGGGUAAGACUAGGUUCCUAUAAUCCCUCCCCAGACCCCACCUUGUGUGGGAGCUUCUAUGCACUGGGUCUGUCCUUUAUACACAUCAAUUAUUCCUGGCAUGAAUAAGAAUUAUGUGCUUUCAGCAUGCCCAUCUUUGCAAAAAGGCUACACCUCUGCAUAACUAGUCAACAAUUAAUACUACAGAAAAGCUAAUCUUGAUUGAUCAAUGUGGGCUUCCAUGUAUAGUUGUUGCAUUCCUCCUUCACAUACCUAGCUUGAUAUGCAAAUUAGCUUAAGUGAGUAUCGGUUUUCUUCUACACGGGAAUGGAUAAAAAAAGAUUUUGACCUUGAAGACAAACAGAAAAGGUAACAUGCAUGCUAUUAGGGUAUGCAUUGCAUUGAGGAUCGAAUCCUUGCAAAAUAUCUCUCUAGCACUCUUCGAGUUAUGCAAAACACAUAUGAAGUCAUACAGAAAUAAAUCAACAGAUGAAAAAUUCAGAAUUGUAGGAAUACGAAAUUACAUCUUUCGUCUAUCGCAAAAAAACCCUCUUUCCUCCUUGUAGAACAGUAGUUUCUUGUGUAAUCAAUUUAGCUAUAGAAAAACUGAUUUCACAGGGAGCGUCUACUCUCGUCUAGGAGGAGCAGAAAAACAAACAUCAUUAUAAAGGGCUAAAUUGACUCGCUGCAGUUGUGGAUGUGCGCCUGUUGGCUUACGUGCGAGUUCUUGGGAGCAAUAAAUCGAGCCAUGUACUCUCCGCCGGAUCGAUGCAGCUUUAUAAACAUAAUAUGCCAAGUAGCGUGCGUGCGUAUUCAUCAUUAUGCUAACACAGAUCAAUCAAGCUGGCCGGCAACUUGUAUUUUGCUGCUGCUGCGCACGUGGGUUUUUGUUUACCUAGGAAAGAGUUGAUCCUACUGCUUUGUAAACUUGCCCGCCACAUAAUACUGUUUCUCGGUAACAUGCAUUUGCUUGGAGUAAUCAGCACUCGGCAAGAAUGUGAUGCACCAGAGUGAACUUGUAAUCUGCGAGGAGGAUGCUCCUGAGUCCCUGACGGCAGCGGCGCGGUUCAGAAACAGCGAUAUGAAGCCGGCGUUCUCUCGGCACGCCUUGUUGAGGCGGAAACAAAUCCUCUAGAUGUGACCCAAAAAAUCGAUGAAGGGAGAGGAGCCCGGCCGGCUGGACAUCCUGCAAGUGACGGCAAGGGAGGAGCGCGUGACGAUGGUGUUCCUGGACUCCCGGUUGCAGACACCACCCUGCAAAGGCAACCGAGGCGACAACCUGUUGCUUUGUACAAUUGUUUAGGCAGAUGAUGUCUAUAAUACGAUGGCAUGUCGACUAUAGACUGUACUAUAGACACACUCUUACUAUGGUCUGUCUAUUUAGUUGUCUAUAUAGGCCCUAAAAUUUGGAAAACUGGGAGAAAAUCAUCAUGACUUUGAAAACCAGAGCAGAACAUGCAUGAGUACUCCAAUGUCAAACAAACAAAGAUAAAAACACAGCCGGAGCAGCGAUUUGUUGAGCAGGCCUUAUAGAGCCCGUGAUGAUGGUUGUUGCUCCUCCUGCGGAUUAAACCACCGACUGCCUCUUUCCUUCCUUGCUUAAUUUCAGCCCGGAUGACUUAUUUUCUUCCUUAUUCUCUUUCCAAUCAUAUAGAGGAACGGACCAGCGGCUUAUUCUUCUUUCCUUCCUUAUUUAUCUGAACAUGACAAAUUAUUUCCUUCCUUAUUGACUCUUGAGAAGGCUCCUUGAUACCCAGAAAAUUCAAAGACGUAUUUAAGUUGGGAGGAUUGCGUGCAAGGGAGCGAGGUGGGACUAAUAUAUGAAUCAAGCUUUCCUUACAACACAUCUGGUCAGUAGUUGUUUGCCAUCAGGUCACGAGUUCAAAUCACCAGACGAGCCAAUAUUUUUGCCUCCCCCGGACUGCACUGGGCCAUCCUUUGUUGGGCUGCAGAAACAACGACGCAGGUAGAUGCACUGCACCGUGCUUCGUUGGGCUGUGGAAGAUGGGCUGAAAACGACGCUGAGAGUAGAUGUGGUGUAGGAAAAAUCUUGGACAGGCAGAAAUUUUAGUACCACCUUAUAUAGAUUCUUAAACUAUAAUAUGAGAGCGAGGUGGACGGACCAAAAACGGACGAAAUUAUGGUGGUAAGAACCGAUAGCCCUUUUAUUAGUAGGUAUAGAUAUAGAUAUAGAUUAGUAUUGAAAGGUCUUUAAUCUGCCAAUAAAUGGUUUCCUUCUUUAUACCUCCAAAAGUUGGUGCACAGCCUAAUGAAAUUACAGUUCCUACACGCAAAGAGGAAUAUUCCACUGUAUAAAUGGUUCUAGAACUAUUAGCUGUAAUGCAUUAUAAGAUACUACAACCUUAGUUUUAAACAUUUUGCGUACUAACAGAUAUGUAUUGCAAUUUUAAUUUGCGUCUCUGCAGCAAUUUGACUAUUCUUUGUCUUUUACGAUGUGGGUCCGCGGUGAGAGGUAACGCUGGCUGGCGCCUCACCACUGGCUAUUGUUUGACGGCGGCAAGGAGAAGGGCGCCAAGGGUGUGCUGCUCUGUGCACGGCCGUCAAAGUACAGCAUCGCUAUGAUGUGUGGUUUCUCUAUUUCCUCCUAUUGCAUGUUCCCAAUUUUACAAAUUGUUAAGUUGGUGCUUGAUUUCGCUUCAGAUUUUUCUGUGGCUUUCUCCAUUAGCAUGUUUCUCCUCAACGACCAUAUCAAUCUGGCUGGUGUUUGCACAUGUGAUUUUGGUUGAGGAGCACACGCUGAUCCAAUGAACAGGAGCGAAGUCGCCAACGCAUUCCGGCUAUUGAUCACCUUGAUCGGUCAAUUAUCAUCUUAAUGGUUAUCUGCAUUUCUGCGCCAUUGUUGAUGGUUCUGACCGUUGUCUAGCUGCAGUGGACAAGGAGGGGGGAGCAAGGACUAACUUUCGUGUUCCUGAUGGUCUGGAUGUUGGUUUUAUUCAGCAGUCACAGGGCUGCCUGCAUUAUGCUGGUUUUGACACAGAUGACAAUGAUGAUGUUGUUGUUCAACUGCUAGUUUAUGUUCUUCAAGACUAUGACAGCAAAGAGUGGAUACUGAAGCAUAGCGUCGAAACUUCACAUGUGUUUGGAGGGCGACACGUAGACGACUUUGGUAAGGACUUUGAUUGGAUUGCAAUUCAUCCAGAAUGUAACUUGAUCUUCUUCACUGUGGGUCGGCAUAUCACAUUCAUGUGCUACGAUAUGGAUAAUGGACAAGUCAAAGUGAUCUGCAAUCUUGAAGAAGGCAAGCCACCAUAUUUUCCAUAUGUGCCAUUAUAUGAAGAGCUACAAUCGUUGCACAGGUGAUGUUUUAUUCAUGCUAUGGGGCAGCGAGCAUGGUCUUGAAUUCGGUCCUCCUUUCACUGAUGUAUGCGUGUUAUAAAGUUUGGAGCAAUGCUGGUUCGUUCUGGGGACAAUGCUGGUUAUUCAAAAGUUUCAAUGUAGUUUCUGUUGCGUGUACUAGUGUUGUCUCUGUAUUACCAAUGGUUCUGGACAGAAGGAGAUGGUUAUACACUUCAAGUUACGAGUGUUGUUAGCUGAACAUCACAGCUA